UAGAGCUUAUGUAAAGAGAAAGUCUCUUAGGGUUUCCAGUUAGUUGAAUUUUGUGAGACAAAAACUCUCGCUCUCCCAUCUCCAUGCCUCCCCUCCUUCCUCUUCUCUUUCCCACAUCCAAAAGUUGGGCAUCCCACCUUCCACAUGUCAAGAGUUGAGGAGCAGUCCAUCUUCAAUGAGAAACAUUGAGAAAAAUGCUGC
This 201-nucleotide long non-coding RNA is filed under the name Elaeis guineensis (African oil palm). RNAcentral describes it as "long non-coding RNA (EGUI_LNC060678)". Lineage: Eukaryota; Viridiplantae; Streptophyta; Magnoliopsida; Arecales; Arecaceae. The record is from RNAcentral.